GCAAUAUUUGCAAUUCCUCAGGGAAAACAACGCACCAUUUCUAGCAGAGUACAUCCCAAUCAUGGACAUCCAUAAUAAGAAUUUCGACCUUAACUUCGCCUUUGCCGACAACAGCUCCGACCUUGCCAUCACUGACGUCAACGGGGCGUGUACACCAACAUUGUGGAGUGGCGCUACGACUGCUACGUGUGGGCCCUCGAAAAGCUCAACUUUUUCAGACAUCAAGGUAUCCUUCAGCAUGGUGGGGUGGGCCACUGACGGCUACCCUGACGCCAACGCCACCAAUGCAGAGCGCUUUUUUCAAGCACCUUCUGCCUUGGGUGUCGGGCAACAAGGGCACCCCAAGCGCCCUGGGGCCCCAUCGACACUAAUGUCCACGCGCUCACCGACGAGACCAAAAAUGAAUGCCGGCCCCUUCACGCGCCACUGGGGCAUCUACCGCUCCAACGGCCAGUCCAAGAAUCAGAUCGACCUGACGGGCCAGGGCCGAGACAUUUACCCGACCGUGGUCCGCGGGGUCAUGCGCANUUGUUGCAAAAUGGAAUCCGUCGUGCAAGAAUCUACACCUCUCAAAGAGAUAUAUUGGCUGCGUUUGCAGGAAGUGGCAUUAACCUCACCAUUUCCAUAAUGAAACCUACCUUGAUCAAAUCCAAGGAAGACGGAAGAAUCUGGGGUCCAAAAAAAAUCAUGCAUUCUUCACUCCUUGCACCAUAAGGUAAUUACGCGCGCACUCCUAGCUAAUUCUUUUUCGUAUAUAUAUAUAUAUAUUUAUAUUUGGAUAAAUAAACUUUGGAUUAGUCAUGUCCUAUUAUCCUGAUUUUCAGAAGUUUUCUAACUUUUGUUUUUUAUUAAAAAAUCUUCAAAUUUCAACGUUCUUCAAAAAGUACAGUAAGUAUAUUAUACAAAUCAACAACGAAAUGAUGAGUCACUUUGCCGGAUUGGAGUGUAAUCCCCAUUAUGUGGCAUAGUGGGACAUUUUUUUUCAAAAAAUGCUCAAAGAUGUGGAUUUUUGAAUAGAAAAGAGAAAGUUGGCGACACCGAGUAACCAAUAAAUGUUUAGUUAAAGAUGGAAAUAGUUUUGAACAGGUCUGUAUAUUUUGGAGGGUAUCCCUUCCACACCGGAAAUGGGAAUAGGACCUUUUUGCAGUCUAUAGUGAACGCGCAACGUUGGCUGCAAGAGGCUCUAAACGAGCGCGGAUUCAGCGACGUGAAGGUGAACAUAGCACAUAUUGAAGGGGUAUUGAAGCAAAACAUUUCUAAACCAUCUGAAGCCGAAUUCAAGGACGAGAUCAAGCCAGAACUUGUGCAAUAUUUGCAAUUCCUCAGGGAAAACAACGCACCAUUUCUAGCAGAGUACAUCCCAAUCAUGGACAUCCAUAAUAAGAAUUUCGACCUUAACUUCGCCUUUGCCGACAACAGCUCCGACCUUGCCAUCACUGACGUCAACGGGGCGGUGUACACCAACAUUGUGGAGUGGCGCUACGACUGCUACGUGUGGGCCCUCGAAAAGCUCA
RNAcentral lists this long non-coding RNA (1514 nucleotides) under Salvia miltiorrhiza (redroot sage). Its description in RNAcentral is "long non-coding RNA (SMIL_LNC005568)". The record is from RNAcentral. Lineage: Eukaryota; Viridiplantae; Streptophyta; Magnoliopsida; Lamiales; Lamiaceae.